CCAGUAUGUGUUGCCAGAGAGCACAGCAGGUCAGGCAAGGCAGAGGCAGACAUAUGUUGGACGACCCCCACUUAGACCCAAAGCACCAGUACAGACCCAGGUCAUAUUUACACCACCAGCACCUGGAGCAUCGCUGCAGAUGGUACCCAACAUAUACAUCCCAGCUACACCAGGGUACCAGGGUAUGCCGAUGUUUCAGGGUGUACCAAUGUUCCAGGCUGUGCCAAUGGUCCAGGGAAUCCCUAUGGCCCAGGGUAUCCCGAUGAUGCAAGGAGUGCAGAUGGCCCAGGGUAUCCCAAUGGUGCAGGGGAUGCCACUCAGACAGCCACCCCUUCAGCCAACAAUGUCCAGUACCAGCUCACAGCCUGCUGCAUCACCGUCCACAUCUGGAGCCAUUCCCAAAAGACCGUACCGGAGAACUGUUCAAGCGAACACUUGUAAAAAGUGUGGGCAGUUCAAAACAAAUGCCACAGGCCAUAGCCAACUCAGGGGCAGGGUGUACUGCCCACAGACUGAAACUUUGACUAAAGAAGAGUGGCUAGAGGAAAUGAAAAGGACCAAUCCAAAAUAAUGUGUUUGUUUGUUUGUGUAUGUAUCAGAGUGUAAUAGUUCUUCAGUUCAUUCAAUUUCACUUGCUGUUAGUUUAUAUUUUUAUUUCACAUUUUCUUUAAAUAGUGUAUUUAUUUUGCUGACAUUUUAUUUAACUUUUAUAUUAUUUAUGUGUGUGUGUGUGUGUGUGUGUGUAUAGUGUUUACAGUUUAUAACCAUAAUAAUUCAAUUUAUUCUAUUUCACUUGUUGUUUUUUUGCACAUUUUACUUUUUAAUCAUUUAUUUUGUUAACAUUUUAUUU
This is a non-coding RNA of Danio rerio (zebrafish), 850 nucleotides long. The record is from Ensembl. NCBI's taxonomy places the organism in Eukaryota, Metazoa, Chordata, Actinopteri, Cypriniformes, Danionidae.